UGUGCCCUACGGGGCGCAGCAGUGGGGAAUAUUGCACAAUGGGGGGAACCCUGAUGCAGCGACGCCGCGUGGGUGAAGAAGUAUUUCGGUAUGUAAAGCCCUAUCGGCAGGGAAGAAAUUGGACGGUACCUGACUAAGAAGCCCCGGCUAACUACGUGCCAGCAGCCGCGGUAAUACGUAGGUGGCAAGCGUUAUCCGGAUUUAUUGGGUGUAAAGGGCGUGUAGGCGGGAGCGCAAGUCAGAUGUGAAAACUCA
This 255-nucleotide ribosomal RNA is filed under the name uncultured bacterium. RNAcentral describes it as "partial 16S ribosomal RNA". It matches the Rfam family "Bacterial small subunit ribosomal RNA", at positions 333 to 604 of the family's 1533-position model. The record is from RNAcentral.